Molecule: transfer RNA, 88 nt
Filed under: Paraplanobispora takensis
Lineage: Bacteria; Bacillati; Actinomycetota; Actinomycetes; Streptosporangiales; Streptosporangiaceae
Description: Planobispora takensis tRNA-Val
Source: RNAcentral
GGCGGCGCUGGGACGGCUGCGCGCCCGGGUCCGCUGACGGCGGGCCCCGGCGCCCGCCGGGGCCUCCCGUUCAUCCGGUACGGCGCCC